Molecule: non-coding RNA, 743 nt
Filed under: Tropilaelaps mercedesae
Lineage: Eukaryota; Metazoa; Arthropoda; Arachnida; Mesostigmata; Laelapidae
Description: Eukaryotic large subunit ribosomal RNA
Rfam family: Eukaryotic large subunit ribosomal RNA
Source: Rfam by way of RNAcentral
CCUCCUGAACUUAAGCAUAUCAAUAAGCGGAGGAAAGGAAAUCAAACGAAAUUUCCGUAGAAGCUGCGAGUUAACUGGACUCAAGCCUAUUGCCAAUUCUUAUGUCUUGUGCAAUAAGAGAUGAGGUGUAAAGGUGUUCCGUCUUCGACAGAGGCAUAGCUUGAUUAUUAUUAAGUGAGAGCUCAGAGAAGGUGAAAAGCCUGUGUGGUCGUGCUAGUCUGUUGAACCGUGAGUCUAAUUGUUUGAGAGUACAAUUUAAAGUUGGUGGUAAAUUUCAAAAGCUAUAUAUAUGAUGGGGCUAAUAGCGAACAAGUACCAUGAGGGAAAGUUGAAAAGAACUCUGACAAAAGAGUUCGACAUUACGUGAAACAUAUUGAGUGUUUGUUGUAAGGUGUACCUAUCAACAGGUCAUUUGGCGUUGUGGUGCCCUUAGUGUAGGUCGUCUAUACAGCUGAUUGCUCGUGGUUAUCGUAGCCAGGGGUUCUAUGAACUAAUGAACAUUCAAUUGAAAAACUAUGCUGCUGCGGCACGGCGUGCAUCAGUCUGUACCUAGUACAUAAUUGCAAGCUGACGGUAGCUGGUUGGCGUAAUUUAGCUGUGCGAGAGUUGCGGGUUGAUUUUACCAAAGGUAGCUGCUGUAUCUGCGAAUCGGUGUAUUUCUUUUUGCGGUGAGCGCGUUGCUGUAGGUAAGCUACUCGCCAUCAAUGGUUAACAUUAGUUAUUUGACCAGUCUUGAAACACGG